GAACGAUGCCGACUUCGGCGAGCGCGCUGCGAAGAUCGCGCCAGAUCGCCUGCUGGUCGCUCGCAAGCUUCGAGACGGUCUCGUUGAUCUUGGCGAGCUGUUCGGUGGGCGUGGAGCCGUCCGGGCUGCGCUCGGCGAUGCCCUCACGAACCUGCGCCUUGAGGCCCGCGACGCGGACCAUGAAGAACUCAUCAAGGUUAUUGGCAGAAAUCGACAGGAACCGGACCCGCUCCAGCAGCGGAUGGGUCGGAUUGACCGCUUCUUUCAGCANNNNNNNUUGAAAGGGAGCCACGACAAUUCGCGGUUGAUAAAGCGUUCCGGGCUCGAUCCGAUCGCCGAAGCGAGCACUAAUUCUUCAUUUUCUUCUUUUUUUACAGUAACUUGC
This 385-nucleotide unclassified non-coding RNA is filed under the name Hevea brasiliensis (rubber tree). Lineage: Eukaryota; Viridiplantae; Streptophyta; Magnoliopsida; Malpighiales; Euphorbiaceae. The record is from RNAcentral.